Molecule: ribosomal RNA, 463 nt
Filed under: uncultured bacterium
Lineage: Bacteria
Description: partial 16S ribosomal RNA
Rfam family: Bacterial small subunit ribosomal RNA
Source: RNAcentral
GAUGAACGCUGACAGAAUGCUUAACACAUGCAAGUCGAUGGGGAAGUGGUGCUUGCACCAUGGUAACCAUGGCGGACGGGUGAGUAACACGUAAGGAACUUACCUGCGGGACCGGGAUAACAGCAGGAAACUGCUGACAAGACCGGAUAAGGUCAUUAAGCUGCAUAGCUGAGUGAUGAAAGGAGACGCCUGCGGAGAGCCUUGCGUCCUAUUAGCUAGUUGGAGGGGUAACGGCCCACCAAGGCGAAGAUAGGUAGCCGGCCUGAGGGGGUGGACGGCCACAAGGGGACUGAGAUACGGCCCUUCCUCCUACGGGAGGCAGCAGUGGGGAAUAUUGGACAAUGGGGGCAACCCUGAUCCAGCAAUUCUGUGUGCACGAAGACGGUUUUCGGAUUGUAAAGUGCUUUCAGCAGGGAAGAAGGAAGUGACGGUACCUGCAGAAGAAGCGACGGCUAAAUACGUG